Long non-coding RNA from Triticum dicoccoides, 816 nucleotides. RefSeq lists it as uncharacterized. Lineage: Eukaryota; Viridiplantae; Streptophyta; Magnoliopsida; Poales; Poaceae. The transcript has 3 exons. The record is from RefSeq and is a predicted model, not a curated record.
CCGAAGUCCCGAUCCAAUCGGGACAUGUAGGACGACGGCGGCAGGGCUCCGGAAAGUGGGGAACGACGGGGAGGCGGGGAGGCGGCGGACGUCGCGGCGAGGCGGAUCAGAUCAGGAUCCAGCACGGCGGCCGGCGCUCCAUGGCCGUGGCGCCUCGGUCUCGUGGGAAGAAGAGACGUGGGAGAGAGAGGAGGUGAGAUGGGGAGAAGAGAAGGCAGAGUAAGGACGGCGCGGAUUCCGACGGUGGCUCCGGUCGGCGGAUCCAGGCCAACUCUUGAUGGAUUUCCAAUGUGCUGCUGGCCUCCGAAUUUUUUUUGUCGUGUAGCCGCUCCCCAUCUCAGCGUGUGCUAUCCACGGAAGCCGGCUCCUCCACUCAGGCCCUCUUCUGCAACGCCGACGAGGACGCUAAUUCGUUUGAACCGAUCUUCACGACCACGUGCAGCUGGAAUUUUUUUCAUAUAACAUCAGGGAUGUAGGAUGAUUGGGUGAACAAGCUUCAUGUGAAACAUCCAGAUCCCGGUGGCGGUGCCUCCGUUCAGCAUCCCAUGCGGCGACGUCCUCCGGUAUAAUGGCAAACACCGGUAGGGGAGAGAGCAGAGCGGGAGGGGUAUUGGGUCCAUACCAUUGUGGGCAUUGCCAGUGCCAUGAUUGUGGUUAAUACCCACAGGAGAUUCUAUUCCUGUGAGCGGAUUAAACAGAGUUGAGUAAACAUCAUCCAUAGGAGAUACAUGUGCUAAUUAAGUUUAGAGGAGAAAGUGGUUCUUUAUUCUUGUAAUUUUGGUGCAGAUGUCAUACAGGGGGCAGAGAACAAUAGUC